Caerostris darwini is the source of this 102-nucleotide non-coding RNA. NCBI's taxonomy places the organism in Eukaryota, Metazoa, Arthropoda, Arachnida, Araneae, Araneidae. The record is from the annotation of a GenBank genome assembly.
CUGAAUAUACCGGUUCUCGUUAGAUCGCCGAAGUCAAGCAUCAUCAGUACUUGGCGCGGUCAGUACUUGGGUGGGUGACCACCUGGGAACACUGCGGGCCGU